RNAcentral lists this transfer RNA (73 nucleotides) under Yasminevirus sp. GU-2018. It matches the Rfam family "tRNA". From Rfam's summary of the family: Transfer RNA (tRNA) molecules are approximately 80 nucleotides in length. Lineage: Varidnaviria; Bamfordvirae; Nucleocytoviricota; Megaviricetes; Imitervirales; Mimiviridae. The record is from Rfam by way of RNAcentral.
GGUAGCUGAGAAAGCGGGUGACUUCAAUGGUUUUAAAGUCCAUCAUUGAUGGGUUCGAGUCCCAUAGCUACCA